Molecule: ribosomal RNA, 352 nt
Filed under: uncultured bacterium
Lineage: Bacteria
Description: partial 16S ribosomal RNA
Rfam family: Bacterial small subunit ribosomal RNA
Source: RNAcentral
CCUACGGGUGGCAGCAGUGAGGAAUAUUGGUCAAUGGCCGGAAGGCUGAACCAGCCAUGCCGCGUGAAGGUCAGUGCCCUAUGGGCGUUAAACUUCUUUUGUGCGGGAGCAAUAAUGGUCACGUGUGGCCAGACGAGAGUACCGUACGAAUAAGCAUCGGCUAACUCCGUGCCAGUAGCCGCGGUAAUACGGGGGAUGCAAGCGUUAUCCGGAUUUAUUGGGUUUAAGGGGUGCGUAGGCUGUGAGGUAAGUCAGCGGUGAAAUGCCCCCGCUCAACGGGGUGAAGUGCCAUUGAUACUGCCUGGCGGGAUGGCGAUUGCCGUGGAAGGAAUGUGUGGUGUGGCGGUGAAAU